This 483-nucleotide ribosomal RNA is filed under the name uncultured bacterium. RNAcentral's name for it is "partial 16S ribosomal RNA". It matches the Rfam family "Bacterial small subunit ribosomal RNA", at positions 28 to 523 of the family's 1533-position model. The record is from RNAcentral.
GACGAACGCUGGCGGCGUGCUUAACACAUGCAAGUCGAACGGAGAGGCUCCAGCUUGCUGGAGUACUCGAGUGGCGAACGGGUGAGUAACACGUGGGUAAUCUGCCCUGCACUCUGGGAUAAGCCUGGGAAACUGGGUCUAAUACUGGAUAUGACCUUUCUCCCUAUGGGGUUUGGUGGAAAGUUUUUCGGUGUAGAAUGAGCCCGCGGCCUAUUAGCUGGUUGGUGGGGUGAUGGCUUACCAAGGCGGCGACGGGUAGCCGGCCUGGGAGGGGGAUCGGCCACAUUGGGACUGAGAUACGGCCCAGACUCCUACGGGAGGCAGCAGUGGGGAAUAUUGCACAAUGGGCGGAAGCCUGAUGCAGCGACGCCGCGUGAGGGAUGACGGCCUUCGGGUUGUAAACCUCUUUCAGCAGGGACGAAGCGUAAGUGACGGUACCUGCAGAAGAAGCACCAGCUAACUACGUGCCAGCAGCCGCAGUAA